Molecule: long non-coding RNA, 446 nt
Organism: Bacillus rossius redtenbacheri
Lineage: Eukaryota; Metazoa; Arthropoda; Insecta; Phasmatodea; Bacillidae
Exons: 2
Source: RefSeq, a predicted model, not a curated record
UGUUCAGUGGUGGUUCUCGGGCCGAUGCUGGGCCAGUGAUCAGCAGUCACGCAGAGAUACCAGCGGGAGUGGAGUCCGGCUGGCCACGAGCCUCACCUAGUGUAGGCCCCCUAGACCCAUGGGCCCCGUUGCCAUAGCAACGGUAGCACCGGCCACGUGGGGGCCCUGCUGUGGAGUGGGGGCAGGUCGUGAGCCCGGGGAACUCCCGCACGGGCGAUGGUCACGUGACGCGGUGAUCUAGGGCCGUGGGGAGACGGGAGACAGUCUCCUGCAAGCACGCCGCACUGCUCAAUCAGCGUCUGGGACACGUGGGGUCGUGACUGGAAGCAAGACUGAGAUCGGCUGGGAAACCAGUGUUGAUUGCGACAAUCACGAUGAUCUGCUGGCUCUCACAGUAUGUAAAUGUAAAAAAGAAAUGGGUUCAUGAAGUCAAUCUAAAAAGGAAA